RNAcentral lists this long non-coding RNA (228 nucleotides) under Mytilus galloprovincialis (Mediterranean mussel). Lineage: Eukaryota; Metazoa; Mollusca; Bivalvia; Mytilida; Mytilidae. The record is from RNAcentral.
CCCUCCAUGUAAUGCGCUCCUUUUCAAAAUUUCUAAAACCGUUGUCUUUAAUUAGUCUGACUACUCACUUUGUCUUUAAGCCCAUUUAGAUCAUUUCCAGCAGGCAAAGCAACGAAAAACAAAUGACACUAGUACUAAUCCAUGAUUUCUAUUGGUCUUGAUUUUGGUGUUCAAAAGUGAAAACGCGGAAAAUAAACAGCUCGCCACUUGAACUUUUAAUAAGGAAGC